UAGAUCAGUUGGUAAAUCAUCUGUCUGCAAUGCAGGAGACCUGGGUUCGAUUCCUGG
Molecule: non-coding RNA, 57 nt
Organism: Bos taurus (domestic cattle)
Lineage: Eukaryota; Metazoa; Chordata; Mammalia; Artiodactyla; Bovidae
Source: Rfam